GACGAACGCUGGCGGCGUGCUUAACACAUGCAAGUCGAACGGAAAGGCCCUGCUUUUGUGGGGUGCUCGAGUGGCGAACGGGUGAGUAACACGUGAGUAACCUGCCCUUGACUUUGGGAUAACUUCAGGAAACUGGGGCUAAUACCGGAUAGGAGCUCCUGCUGCAUGGUGGGGGUUGGAAAGUUUCGGCGGUUGGGGAUGGACUCGCGGCUUAUCAGCUUGUUGGUGGGGUAGUGGCUUACCAAGGCUUUGACGGGUAGCCGGCCUGAGAGGGUGACCGGCCACAUUGGGACUGAGAUACGGCCCAGACUCCUACGGGAGGCAGCAGUGGGGAAUAUUGCACAAUGGGCGGAAGCCUGAUGCAGCAACGCCACGUGCGGGAUGACGGCCUUCGGGUUGUAAACCGCUUUCGCCUGUGACGAAGCGUGAGUGACGGGAAUGGGUAAAGAAGCACCGGCUAACUACG
Molecule: ribosomal RNA, 466 nt
Filed under: uncultured bacterium
Lineage: Bacteria
Description: partial 16S ribosomal RNA
Rfam family: Bacterial small subunit ribosomal RNA
Source: RNAcentral